UACGGGGGGGAGCAAGCGUUGUUCGGAUUUACUGGGCGUAAAGGGCGCGUAGGCGGCCAGCGCAAGUCAGUUGUGAAAUCUCCGGGCUUAACUCGGAACGGUCAACUGAUACUGCGCGGCUAGAGUGCAGAAGGGGCAACUGGAAUUCUCGGUGUAGCGGUGAAAUGCGUAGAUAUCGAGAGGAACACCUGCGGCGAAGGCGGGUUGCUGGGCUGACACUGACGCUGAUGCGCGAAGCCAGGGGAGCGAACGGG
This 254-nucleotide ribosomal RNA is filed under the name uncultured bacterium. Its description in RNAcentral is "partial 16S ribosomal RNA". It matches the Rfam family "Bacterial small subunit ribosomal RNA", at positions 524 to 776 of the family's 1533-position model. The record is from RNAcentral.